GUAGCUGGUCUGAGAGGAUGGCCAGCCACACUGGAACUGAGACACGGUCCAGACUCCUACGGGAGGCAGCAGUGGGGAAUAUUGGACAAUGGGGGCAACCCUGAUCCAGCAAUGCCGCGUGUGUGAAGAAGGCCUGAGGGUUGUAAAGCACUUUCAGUGGGGAGGAGGGWUGAUWGGUUAAGAGCURAUUAAUUGGACGUUACCCACAGAAGAAGCACCGGCUAACUCCGUGCCAGCAGCCGCGGUAAUACGGAGGGUGCGAGCGUUAAUCGGAAUUACUGGGCGUAAAGGGUGCGUAGGUGGUUUAUUAAGUUAUGUGUAAAAUCCCUGGGCUUAACCUGGGCAGGUCAUAUAAUACUGGUUAACUCGAGUAUGG
Molecule: ribosomal RNA, 376 nt
Filed under: uncultured Legionella sp.
Lineage: Bacteria; Pseudomonadati; Pseudomonadota; Gammaproteobacteria; Legionellales; Legionellaceae
Description: bacterial SSU rRNA
Rfam family: Bacterial small subunit ribosomal RNA
Source: RNAcentral